AGAGUUUGAUCCUGGCUCAGGACGAACGCUGGCGGCGUGCUUAACACAUGCAAGUCGAACGGAAAGGCCCUUCGGGGUACUCGAGUGGCGAACGGGUGAGUAACACGUGGGUGAUCUGCCCUGCACUUUGGGAUAAGCCUGGGAAACUGGGUCUAAUACCGAAUAUGACCAUGCGCCUCCUGGUGUGUGGUGGAAAGCUUUUGCGGUGUGGGAUGGGCCCGCGGCCUAUCAGCUUGUUGGUGGGGUAAUGGCCUACCAAGGCGACGACGGGUAGCCGGCCUGAGAGGGUGACCGGCCACACUGGGACUGAGAUACGGCCCAGACUCCUACGGGAGGCAGCAGUGGGGAAUAUUGCACAAUGGGCGCAAGCCUGAUGCAGCGACGCCGCGUGAGGGAUGACGGCCUUCGGGUUGUAAACCUCUUUCAGCACAGACGAAGCGCAAGUGACGGUAUGUGCAGAAGAAGGACCGGCCAACUACGUGCCAGCAGCCGCGGUAAUACGUAGGGUCCGAGCGUUGUCCGGAAUUACUGGGCGUAAAGAGCUCGUAGGUGGUUUGUCGCGUUGUUCGUGAAAACUCACAGCUUAACUGUGGGCGUGCGGGCGAUACGGGCAGACUUGAGUACUGCAGGGGAGACUGGAAUUCCUGGUGUAGCGGUGGAAUGCGCAGAUAUCAGGAGGAACACCGGUGGCGAAGGCGGGUCUCUGGGCAGUAACUGACGCUGAGGAGCGAAAGCGUGGGGAGCGAACGGGAUUAGAUACCCUGGUAGUCC
This 771-nucleotide ribosomal RNA is filed under the name uncultured bacterium. Its description in RNAcentral is "bacterial SSU rRNA". It matches the Rfam family "Bacterial small subunit ribosomal RNA", at positions 8 to 796 of the family's 1533-position model. The record is from RNAcentral.